Molecule: ribosomal RNA, 135 nt
Filed under: Periophthalmus magnuspinnatus
Lineage: Eukaryota; Metazoa; Chordata; Actinopteri; Gobiiformes; Gobiidae
Source: RNAcentral
UAUGGUUUACAUGCUUACAUAUACCAGGCCCUACCACCUUAAAAUAUGCAACCUCAUCAGAUCUCUGAAGCUCAGCGGGGCCAUGGCCUGGUUAGUACUUGAAUGGUAGACCACUGGGAAUAAUAGGUGCCACAU